CCUACGGGGGGCAGCAGUGAGGAAUAUUGGUCAAUGGGCGCGAGCCUGAACCAGCCACGUAGCGUGAAGGAUGACUGCCCUACGGGUUGUAAACUUCUUUUAUAAAGGAAUAAAGUGCGGCACGUGUGCCUUUUUGUAUGUACUUUAUGAAUACGGAUCGGCUAACUCCGUGCCAGCAGCCGCGGUAAUACGGAGGAUCCGAGCGUUAUCCGGAUUUAUUGGGUUUAAAGGGAGCGUAGAUGGGUUGUUAAGUCAGGUGUGAAAGUUUGCGGCUCAACCGUAAAAGUGCAAUUGAUACUGGCAGCCUUGAGUACAGUUGAGGUAGGCGGAAUUCGUGGUGUAGCGGUGAAAUGCUUAGAUAUCACGAAGAACUCCGAUUGCGAAGGCAGCCUACUAAACGGCAACUGACAUUGAUGCUCGAAAGUGUGGGUAUCAAACAGGAUUAGAUACCCUGGUAGUC
This 460-nucleotide ribosomal RNA is filed under the name uncultured bacterium. Its description in RNAcentral is "partial 16S ribosomal RNA". It matches the Rfam family "Bacterial small subunit ribosomal RNA", at positions 338 to 795 of the family's 1533-position model. The record is from RNAcentral.